UCACACGGCCAAACAUGUGGAAAACGGGGCAACACAAACUUAUCUCCUUGCAGGCCUCCCUCAAAAAGAAUAUCUCACUGCAGCCGCCACCACAAAUCCUCCAUCGAUCUCACCUGAUCCACCGCCGCCGCCAGAAAUCCUCCAUCGUUCUCACCUGAUUUCCCUGCGCCGCCGUUGUCUUGGCACCGCAUCCAGGUUUCCCCACUUGAUCCUUGGGUAUGAGGUUUCCCUCCCACGGCAUGUAGAUCACGGCUGGACAAGAAACUGUUACGGUAUGUCCACCGCCGGCACCAUCGCGCUCUCCUUGGAAGCCCCGCUCCCCGCGCUCCAUUUUGGUAGUCACCGCAGGGAACGACUACAAAACAAAGACGCACAAGGUGUCGGAGAUGCGGUGGGGAUGGGGAAGGUCAUUCGGUGCUGCGCCGGGAGGCAGCAUCUACUCCACUAGAAGAACGCUAAGCAAAGAAUUUGGAUCAGAUGUCAAUAGCGCAGGGGCAGGGGGCUACUCGAUGGGCCAAAAAAGCGGAGGUUCAGUUGCGGCCCAGAUGCACAGCAGCGGUGCGACGACUCAUAUAUGCACAAGGGUGUCGCGACGACUGAGAGAUGUACAGAAGUGGUGCAGCCGCUCCACAGUGAUGGUUUGUAGUGCAGUACGGUCAGCUAGCCAUCUGCCCCAUCCCGUCCAAUUAAUAUGCAGCAGCUAUACGUUAUACGGAUAUUACUAGCUGUAGUUGCAGCUAUUAAGUUUUUACUAGUAUAGUUGUUCACCAAGUAGGAAAAGUUAGAUGCAUGUACAUGUACGAAACUGACUAUGCAGUAUUCAAGUUUCCAGCAAUUUUUCGUUGAAAAAAUUAGUUACUGUUGAAAAAGUAGCUUCCAAUUUUGACAGUAAUCUUUUAAUGGAAACACUGAACCAUCCCGCUUGACAAAGUUUAUCUAUUAAUUAAAUAUGUUGGCAAUACCAAAGUGCAUCAGUUUCUCAGUUUUUUAGAUCAUCUUGAGAGAGUUCAAAUUCAGAGUAACAUUUGGUCUAGAGAUCUUUGUGUGAGUAAUGAUGUUAUGUUGACUUCUCCAUUCUAACCAUGGUAUUGGCUUAUGGAGAUCAUAGUUUCUCUAUGGAGAAAAUUUAGUGUCAGUAUACAUACAUUUGAAAUAUUGUUUUGUGGUCUUCUAAAUUACCAAUACAUAUGUUGUAUCUUCAGAUUACAGAAACUGGAUUGUUUCAGGUAGUGACGACGUUACGUUGUGACUGUGACGUCAAAGGACAACACAUGGUUCAGAUUCCUAAGAUAUUUUGUCGAUGCAUGGCUCAGUCAAUGAUUGUUAGGUCGAGAAUGGUGCUGCUAGAUAGUCUUAUCAUCUGAUUGCAAGGUCGAGAACGGUGUUGCUGCUGCAUAGUUUUAUCAUCUGAUUGCAAGGUCGAGUAUGGUGAUGCUGCUAGAUAGUCUUAUCAUCUGAUUGCAAGGUCGUGAAUGGUGUUGCUACUGGAUAGUCUUAUGUUAUGUUUUACGAUAUCAUUUCCAGUGUCAAUGUUUCAAAAACUGUAAUUUCGAAUAGUUGAGACAAUGAUUGAAAGGUCCAGAAUUGGGCUACUAAUUAGUAUCACAACUUGUAAUCUUUGGAUCAUGUUCUUUGUAAUGGAAUAGAGGAAA
Triticum aestivum (bread wheat) is the source of this 1652-nucleotide long non-coding RNA. RefSeq lists it as uncharacterized. The record is from RefSeq and is a predicted model, not a curated record. The transcript has 4 exons. NCBI's taxonomy places the organism in Eukaryota, Viridiplantae, Streptophyta, Magnoliopsida, Poales, Poaceae.